GAAGGAUCCAAGCGUUAUCCGGAUUUAUUGGGUUUAAAGGGUGCGUAGGCGGACUAUUAAGUCAGUGGUGAAAGCCUGCAGCUUAACUGCAGAACUGCCAUUGAUACUGAUGGUCUUGAGUACAUUUGAGGUGGGCGGAAUGUGUCAUGUAGUGGUGAAAUACUUAGAUAUGACACAGAACUCCGAUUGCGAAGGCAGCUCACUAAACUGUAACUGACGCUGAGGCACGAAAGCGUGGGGAUCAAACAGGAUUAGAUACCCUGGUAGUCCACGCCCUAAACGAUGAUUACUCGAUGUGUGCGAUACACUGUACGCGUCUGAGCGAAAGCAUUAAGUAAUCCACCUGGGGAGUACGGCCGCAAGGCUGAA
Molecule: ribosomal RNA, 369 nt
Filed under: uncultured bacterium
Lineage: Bacteria
Description: bacterial SSU rRNA
Rfam family: Bacterial small subunit ribosomal RNA
Source: RNAcentral